GGUGAACGCUAGCGGCAGGCCUAACACAUGCAAGUCGAGGGGUAGUUAUCUUCGGAUAAUGAGACCGGCGCACGGGUGCGUAACGCGUAUGCAAUCUACCUUGUACAGAGAGAUAGCCCAGAGAAAUUUGGAUUAAUACCUCAUAAUAUUUAUCUAAGGCAUCUUAGAUAUCUUAAAGCUCCGGCGGUAAGAGAUGGGCAUGCGUGACAUUAGCUGGUUGGUAAGGUAACGGCUUACCAAGGCAACGAUGUCUAGGGGUUCUGAGAGGAUGAUCCCCCACACUGGUACUGAGACACGGACCAG
Molecule: ribosomal RNA, 303 nt
Filed under: uncultured bacterium
Lineage: Bacteria
Description: bacterial SSU rRNA
Rfam family: Bacterial small subunit ribosomal RNA
Source: RNAcentral